Molecule: ribosomal RNA, 253 nt
Filed under: uncultured bacterium
Lineage: Bacteria
Description: partial 16S ribosomal RNA
Rfam family: Bacterial small subunit ribosomal RNA
Source: RNAcentral
UACGAAGGGGGCUAGCGUUGCUCGGAAUUACUGGGCGUAAAGCGCACGUAGGCGGCUUUGCAAGUUAGAGGUGAAAGCCCGGAGCUCAACUCCGGAAUUGCCUUUAAAACUGCAUCGCUAGAAUUGUGGAGAGGUAAGUGGAAUUCCGAGUGUAGAGGUGAAAUUCGUAGAUAUUCGGAAGAACACCAGUGGCGAAGGCGACUUACUGGACACAUAUUGACACUGAGGUGCGAAAGCGUGGGGAGCAAACAGG